This 1443-nucleotide ribosomal RNA is filed under the name uncultured organism. RNAcentral describes it as "SSU rRNA". It matches the Rfam family "Bacterial small subunit ribosomal RNA". The record is from RNAcentral.
CUAUCUACAGGCUUAACACAUGCAAGUCGAGGGGCAGCAUGGUCUUAGCUUGCUAAGGCCGAUGGCGACCGGCGCACGGGUGAGUAACGCGUAUCCAACCUGCCUUACACUCUUGGACAGCCUUCUGAAAGGGAGAUUAAUACAAGAUGUUAUCAUGAGUAAGCAUUUUCGCAUGAUUAAAGGUUUACCGGUGUAAGAUGGGGAUGCGUUCCAUUAGAUAGUAGGCGGGGUAACGGCCCACCUAGUCUUCGAUGGAUAGGGGUUCUGAGAGGAAGGUCCCCCACAUUGGAACUGAGACACGGUCCAAACUCCUACGGGAGGCAGCAGUGAGGAAUAUUGGUCAAUGGACGAGAGUCUGAACCAGCCAAGUAGCGUGAAGGAUGAAGGUUCUAUGGAUUGUAAACUUCUUUUAUACGGGAAUAAACGGAUCCACGUGUGGAUUUUUGCAUGUACCGUAUGAAUAAGGAUCGGCUAACUCCGUGCCAGCAGCCGCGGUAAUACGGAGGAUCCGAGCGUUAUCCGGAUUUAUUGGGUUUAAAGGGAGCGUAGAUGGGUUGUUAAGUCAGUUGUGAGAGUUUGCGGCUCAACCGUAAAAUUGCAAUUGAUACUGGCAGUCUUGAGUACAGUUGAGGUAGGCGGAAUUCGUGGUGUAGCGGUGAAAUGCUUAGAUAUCACGAAGAACUCCGAUUGCGAAGGCAGCUUACUAACCUGUAACUGACAUUGAUGCUCGAAAGUGUGGGUAUCAAACAGGAUUAGAUACCCUGGUAGUCCACACGGUAAACGAUGAAUACUCGCUGUAGGCGAUAUACAGUCUGCGGCCAAGCGAAAGCAUUAAGUAUUCCACCUGGGGAGUACGCCGGCAACGGUGAAACUCAAAGGAAUUGACGGGGGCCCGCACAAGCGGAGGAACAUGUGGUUUAAUUCGAUGAUACGCGAGGAACCUUACCCGGGCUUAAAUUGCAACCGAAUAUGGCGGAAACGCUAUAGCUAGCAAUAGCGGUUGUGAAGGUGCUGCAUGGUUGUCGUCAGCUCGUGCCGUGAGGUGUCGGCUUAAGUGCCAUAACGAGCGCAACCCUUGCCGAUAGUUACUAACAGGUUAUGCUGAGGACUCUGUCGGGACUGCCAUCGUAAGAUGUGAGGAAGGUGGGGAUGACGUCAAAUCAGCACGGCCCUUACGUCCGGGGCUACACACGUGUUACAAUGGGGGGUACAGAGGGCUGCUACCACGCAAGUGGAUGCCAAUCCCAAAAACCUCUCUCAGUUCGGAUUGAAGUCUGCAACCCGACUUCAUGAAGCUGGAUUCGCUAGUAAUCGCGCAUCAGCCACGGCGCGGUGAAUACGUUCCCGGGCCUUGUACACACCGCCCGUCAAGCCAUGGGAGCCGGGGGUACCUGAAGUGCGUAACCGCAAGGAGCGCCCUAGGGUAAAACUGGUGACUGGGGC